CCCGCUCAGAAACUCAAAUGAAUUGACGGGGGCCCGCACAAGCGGAGGAGCAUGUGGUUUAAUUCGAUGAUACGCGAGGAACCUUACCUGGGCUCGAACGUAAGAUGACUGUAGGUGAAAGCUUACAUCUCUUCGGAGCAUUUUACGAGGUGCUGCAUGGUUGUCGUCAGCUCGUGCCGUGAGGUGUCGGGUUAAGUCCCAUAACGAGCGCAACCCCUACCUUUAGUUGCCAUCAGGUAAUGCUGAGGACUCUAAAGGAACUGCCUACGCAAGUAGUGAGGAAGGCGGGGAUGACGUCAAAUCAGCACGGCCCUUACGUCCAGGGCUACACACGUGCUACAAUGGCCGAUACAGAGGGCAGCUACCUGGUGACAGGAUGCAAAUCUCCAAAGUCGGUCUCAGUUCGGAUCGGAGUCUGCAACCCGACUCCGUGAAGUUGGAUUCGCUAGUAAUCGCGCAUCAGCCAUGGCGCGGUGAAUACGUUCCCGGGCCUU
Molecule: ribosomal RNA, 494 nt
Filed under: uncultured Sphingobacteriales bacterium
Lineage: Bacteria; Pseudomonadati; Bacteroidota; Sphingobacteriia; Sphingobacteriales
Description: bacterial SSU rRNA
Rfam family: Bacterial small subunit ribosomal RNA
Source: RNAcentral